Molecule: non-coding RNA, 94 nt
Organism: Mycena latifolia
Lineage: Eukaryota; Fungi; Basidiomycota; Agaricomycetes; Agaricales; Mycenaceae
Source: the annotation of a GenBank genome assembly
GGCCUGGUGGUGUAAUGGUAACACCCUUGCAUUAUAUUAAAUAAGUGGCAAGUAGUUUCUGCAGGAGUUCCUUGUUCGACUCAAGGCCAGGCUU